AUUGAACGCUGGCGGCAGGCCUAACACAUUCAAUUCGAGCGAGCGGCGGACGGGUGAGUAAUUUAUGGGUACCUGCCCGCUAGAGGGGGAUAACUACUGGAAACGGUCGAUAAUACCUCAUACUCUCGGAUGAAACCAGAUGGGAUUAGCUAGUAGGGGAGGUAACGGCUGACCUAGGCGACGAUCCCUAGCUGGUCUGUGAGGAUGAACAGCCACACUGGAACGGAGACACGGCCCAGACUCCUACGUGAGGCAGCAGUGGGGAAUAUUGCACAAUGGGGGCAAGCCUGAUGCAGCCAUGCCGCGUGUGUGAUGAAGGCCUUCGGGUUGUAAAGUACUUUUAGCGGGGAGGCGGUACCCGCAGAAGAAGCACCGGCUAACUCCGUGCCAGCAGCCGCGGUAAUUC
RNAcentral lists this ribosomal RNA (406 nucleotides) under uncultured bacterium. RNAcentral's name for it is "partial 16S ribosomal RNA". It matches the Rfam family "Bacterial small subunit ribosomal RNA", at positions 30 to 526 of the family's 1533-position model. The record is from RNAcentral.